RNAcentral lists this ribosomal RNA (465 nucleotides) under uncultured bacterium. RNAcentral's name for it is "partial 16S ribosomal RNA". It matches the Rfam family "Bacterial small subunit ribosomal RNA", at positions 338 to 795 of the family's 1533-position model. The record is from RNAcentral.
CCUACGGGAGGCAGCAGUGGGGAAUUUUGCACAAUGCUCGUAAGAGUGACGCAGCGACGCCGCGUGAAUGACGAAGGCCUUCGGGUCGUAAAGUUCUUUCGACAGGGAAGAAAAUGCAUAUAAGUAACUGUGUAUGUAUUGACGGUACCUGUAUAAGCAGCCCCGGCUAACUCCGUGCCAGCAGCCGCGGUAAUACGGAGGGGGCGAGUGUUGUUCGGAGGGACUGGGCGUAAAGAGCACGUAGGCGGUGUUGUAAGUCAUUAGUCAAAGACUAGAGCUCAACUUUAGUAAGGCUAGUGAUACUAUAAUACUAGAGUAUCAGAGAGGAUUGCAGAAUUCCUGGUGUAGCGGUGAAAUGCGUAGAUAUCAGGAGGAAUACCGUUAGCGAAGGCGGCAAUCUGGCUGGAAACUGACGCUGAGGUGCGAAAGCGUGGGUAGCAAACAGGAUUAGAUACCCGUGUAGUC